UUCAAUUGUAGUGAAUUUCAAAAUUCAGAGUAUAUUUGUUAAAUAAAUAAUUUAGGGUACAAAUGUAAGAAAAUGUAAAGUUUGUGAUUUUUUUGAACAUUUUCACAAUUGGAAUUAACGAUGGAAUAGAUGGCAGAGUGCAAUUGUAAAGAAGUUCAAAGUUUAUGGUAUAUUUGUUAAAAAAAAGUUUGGGUAGAAUUAUGAAAAAGUCAAAAUUCAGGAUUUUUUGGACAUUAUCCCUUUUUUUUUCCUUUCUUGGGAGUGGUUGUGAGAGUAUGGGGAAGAAUGAGAUUAAGAAAGACAAGAAGAUAAAGAUUCUAGAGUGCGCCCAAGUCUUUUACCAUAACUCCCAAGAACUUAAUCUUCAGUAAUGUCAUUGAGAAGUUUUAAGACUUUUAAGGGUCUAAGGUUCUAUAUGGCUUUUUGAAAGAGUGAAACAGAAGGCAUUUGUCCAAUGCUUCCUGCAUUGUGCACUUUGGUUGCUGGCAAUCUACCUUGGAAGCUCAUCGAUUAGUACUUGCCAUGGCUAGCUAACCUUUUUUGUGGAAUGCUAUGUGCAUGGUUGUGGAUUUAGAAAAAUUAUAAAAAAUAUGCAUAUAAAAAAAUAAAGUUUCAUGUAUUAAGUUUUUAACAUCUAAAAAUUUAGUAGGAUGUAAUUAAGCCAAUCUAACCAACAUUUUUAUGUGAAAAGAAGAGCUACUAAAAUCAAGCAAGUCAUACAAAUGAGCGAUUUAUUUUUAUAUUUAUCAAAAAGAGGGGUCAAUAAUUAAAUUUAUGAGGGUUCAAUUUAAACAUUUCAUACAUAAAUGUACAAAAUGUUUAAAUUGACCCAUUUUUUUUAAGGUGGACCUGCCAGUGUAUAUGCAUGAAAAUUCUGCAACUCAAGAACUCAUUGUCCU
RNAcentral lists this unclassified non-coding RNA (899 nucleotides) under Hevea brasiliensis (rubber tree). Lineage: Eukaryota; Viridiplantae; Streptophyta; Magnoliopsida; Malpighiales; Euphorbiaceae. The record is from RNAcentral.